This 2900-nucleotide ribosomal RNA is filed under the name Escherichia coli LT-68. RNAcentral's name for it is "bacterial LSU rRNA". It matches the Rfam family "Bacterial large subunit ribosomal RNA". Lineage: Bacteria; Pseudomonadati; Pseudomonadota; Gammaproteobacteria; Enterobacterales; Enterobacteriaceae. The record is from RNAcentral.
UUAAGCGACUAAGCGUACACGGUGGAUGCCCUGGCAGUCAGAGGCGAUGAAGGACGUGCUAAUCUGCGAUAAGCGUCGGUAAGGUGAUAUGAACCGUUAUAACCGGCGAUUUCCGAAUGGGGAAACCCAGUGUGUUUCGACACACUAUCAUUAACUGAAUCCAUAGGUUAAUGAGGCGAACCGGGGGAACUGAAACAUCUAAGUACCCCGAGGAAAAGAAAUCAACCGAGAUUCCCCCAGUAGCGGCGAGCGAACGGGGAGCAGCCCAGAGCCUGAAUCAGCAUGUGUGUUAGUGGAAGCGUCUGGAAAGGCGCGCGAUACAGGGUGACAGCCCCGUACACAAAAAUGCACAUACUGUGAGCUCGAUGAGUAGGGCGGGACACGUGGUAUCCUGUCUGAAUAUGGGGGGACCAUCCUCCAAGGCUAAAUACUCCUGACUGACCGAUAGUGAACCAGUACCGUGAGGGAAAGGCGAAAAGAACCCCGGCGAGGGGAGUGAAAAGAACCUGAAACCGUGUACGUACAAGCAGUGGGAGCACGCUUAGGCGUGUGACUGCGUACCUUUUGUAUAAUGGGUCAGCGACUUAUAUUCUGUAGCAAGGUUAACCGAAUAGGGGAGCCGAAGGGAAACCGAGUCUUAACUGGGCGUUAAGUUGCAGGGUAUAGACCCGAAACCCGGUGAUCUAGCCAUGGGCAGGUUGAAGGUUGGGUAACACUAACUGGAGGACCGAACCGACUAAUGUUGAAAAAUUAGCGGAUGACUUGUGGCUGGGGGUGAAAGGCCAAUCAAACCGGGAGAUAGCUGGUUCUCCCCGAAAGCUAUUUAGGUAGCGCCUCGUGAACUCAUCUCCGGGGGUAGAGCACUGUUUCGGCAAGGGGGUCAUCCCGACUUACCAACCCGAUGCAAACUGCGAAUACCGGAGAAUGUUAUCACGGGAGACACACGGCGGGUGCUAACGUCCGUCGUGAAGAGGGAAACAACCCAGACCGCCAGCUAAGGUCCCAAAGUCAUGGUUAAGUGGGAAACGAUGUGGGAAGGCCCAGACAGCCAGGAUGUUGGCUUAGAAGCAGCCAUCAUUUAAAGAAAGCGUAAUAGCUCACUGGUCGAGUCGGCCUGCGCGGAAGAUGUAACGGGGCUAAACCAUGCACCGAAGCUGCGGCAGCGACACUAUGUGUUGUUGGGUAGGGGAGCGUUCUGUAAGCCUGCGAAGGUGUGCUGUGAGGCAUGCUGGAGGUAUCAGAAGUGCGAAUGCUGACAUAAGUAACGAUAAAGCGGGUGAAAAGCCCGCUCGCCGGAAGACCAAGGGUUCCUGUCCAACGUUAAUCGGGGCAGGGUGAGUCGACCCCUAAGGCGAGGCCGAAAGGCGUAGUCGAUGGGAAACAGGUUAAUAUUCCUGUACUUGGUGUUACUGCGAAGGGGGGACGGAGAAGGCUAUGUUGGCCGGGCGACGGUUGUCCCGGUUUAAGCGUGUAGGCUGGUUUUCCAGGCAAAUCCGGAAAAUCAAGGCUGAGGCGUGAUGACGAGGCACUACGGUGCUGAAGCAACAAAUGCCCUGCUUCCAGGAAAAGCCUCUAAGCAUCAGGUAACAUCAAAUCGUACCCCAAACCGACACAGGUGGUCAGGUAGAGAAUACCAAGGCGCUUGAGAGAACUCGGGUGAAGGAACUAGGCAAAAUGGUGCCGUAACUUCGGGAGAAGGCACGCUGAUAUGUAGGUGAAGUCCCUCGCGGAUGGAGCUGAAAUCAGUCGAAGAUACCAGCUGGCUGCAACUGUUUAUUAAAAACACAGCACUGUGCAAACACGAAAGUGGACGUAUACGGUGUGACGCCUGCCCGGUGCCGGAAGGUUAAUUGAUGGGGUCAGCGCAAGCGAAGCUCUUGAUCGAAGCCCCGGUAAACGGCGGCCGUAACUAUAACGGUCCUAAGGUAGCGAAAUUCCUUGUCGGGUAAGUUCCGACCUGCACGAAUGGCGUAAUGAUGGCCAGGCUGUCUCCACCCGAGACUCAGUGAAAUUGAACUCGCUGUGAAGAUGCAGUGUACCCGCGGCAAGACGGAAAGACCCCGUGAACCUUUACUAUAGCUUGACACUGAACAUUGAGCCUUGAUGUGUAGGAUAGGUGGGAGGCUUUGAAGUGUGGACGCCAGUCUGCAUGGAGCCGACCUUGAAAUACCACCCUUUAAUGUUUGAUGUUCUAACGUGGACCCGUGAUCCGGGUUGCGGACAGUGUCUGGUGGGUAGUUUGACUGGGGCGGUCUCCUCCUAAAGAGUAACGGAGGAGCACGAAGGUUGGCUAAUCCUGGUCGGACAUCAGGAGGUUAGUGCAAUGGCAUAAGCCAGCUUGACUGCGAGCGUGACGGCGCGAGCAGGUGCGAAAGCAGGUCAUAGUGAUCCGGUGGUUCUGAAUGGAAGGGCCAUCGCUCAACGGAUAAAAGGUACUCCGGGGAUAACAGGCUGAUACCGCCCAAGAGUUCAUAUCGACGGCGGUGUUUGGCACCUCGAUGUCGGCUCAUCACAUCCUGGGGCUGAAGUAGGUCCCAAGGGUAUGGCUGUUCGCCAUUUAAAGUGGUACGCGAGCUGGGUUUAGAACGUCGUGAGACAGUUCGGUCCCUAUCUGCCGUGGGCGCUGGAGAACUGAGGGGGGCUGCUCCUAGUACGAGAGGACCGGAGUGGACGCAUCACUGGUGUUCGGGUUGUCAUGCCAAUGGCACUGCCCGGUAGCUAAAUGCGGAAGAGAUAAGUGCUGAAAGCAUCUAAGCACGAAACUUGCCCCGAGAUGAGUUCUCCCUGACUCCUUGAGAGUCCUGAAGGAACGUUGAAGACGACGACGUUGAUAGGCCGGGUGUGUAAGCGCAGCGAUGCGUUGAGCUAACCGGUACUAAUGAACCGUGAGGCUUAACCUU